UGCUGGGUGGAUUAGUGGCGAACGGGUGAGUAACACGUGAGUAACCUGCCCUUAACUCUGGGAUAAGCCUGGGAAACUGGGUCUAAUACCGGAUAGGAGCGUCCACCGCAUGGUGGGUGUUGGAAAGAUUUAUCGGUUUUGGAUGGACUCGCGGCCUAUCAGCUUGUUGGUGAGGUAAUGGCUCACCAAGGCGACGACGGGUAGCCGGCCUGAGAGGGUGACCGGCCACACUGGGACUGAGACACGGCCCAGACUCCUACGGGAGGCAGCAGUGGGGAAUAUUGCACAAUGGGCGCAAGCCUGAUGCAGCGACGCCGCGUGAGGGAUGACGGCCUUCGGGUUGUAAACCUCUUUCAGUAGGGAAGAAGCGAAAGUGACGGUACCUGCAGAAGAAGCACCGGCUAACUACGUGCCAGCAGCCGCGGUAAUACGUAGGGUGCGAGCGUUAUCCGGAAUUAUUGGGCGUAAAGAGCUCGUAGGCGGUUUGUCGCGUCUGUCGUGAAAGUCCGGGGCUUAACCCCGGAUCUGCGGUGGGUACGGGCAGACUAGAGUGCAGUAGGGGAGACUGGAAUUCCUGGUGUAGCGGUGGAAUGCGCAGAUAUCAGGAGGAACACCGAUGGCGAAGGCAGGUCUCUGGGCUGUAACUGACGCUGAGGAGCGAAAGCAUGGGGAGCGAACAGGAUUAGAUACCCUGGUAGUCCAUGCCGUAAACGUUGGGCACUAGGUGUGGGGACCAUUCCACGGUUUCCGCGCCGCAGCUAACGCAUUAAGUGCCCCGCCUGGGGAGUACGGCCGCAAGGCUAAAACUCAAAGGAAUUGACGGGGGCCCGCACAAGCGGCGGAGCAUGCGGAUUAAUUCGAUGCAACGCGAAGAACCUUACCAAGGCUUGACAUGUUCUCGAUCGCCGUAGAGAUACGGUUUCCCCUUUGGGGCGGGUUCACAGGUGGUGCAUGGUUGUCGUCAGCUCGUGUCGUGAGAUGUUGGGUUAAGUCCCGCAACGAGCGCAACCCUCGUUCCAUGUUGCCAGCACGUAAUGGUGGGGACUCAUGGGAGACUGCCGGGGUCAACUCGGAGGAAGGUGAGGACGACGUCAAAUCAUCAUGCCCCUUAUGUCUUGGGCUUCACGCAUGCUACAAUGGCCGG
This is a ribosomal RNA of 1144 nucleotides. It matches the Rfam family "Bacterial small subunit ribosomal RNA", at positions 81 to 1237 of the family's 1533-position model.